UACGUAGGGGGCGAGCGUUGUCCGGAGUUACUGGGCGUAAAGGGCAUGCAGGCGGUCGGACGCGUUUCGGGUGACAGCGGGUGGCUUAACUACCCGAGUGGUCGAAAGACGGUUUGACUUGAGGACGCGAGAGGGACACGGAAUUCCGGGUGGAGUGGUGAAAUGCGCAGAUAUCAGGAGGAACACCGGUGGCGAAGGCGGAUCUCUGGGCCUUACCUGACGCUCAGGUGCGAAAGCUAGGGGAGCGAACAGG
RNAcentral lists this ribosomal RNA (253 nucleotides) under uncultured bacterium. RNAcentral's name for it is "partial 16S ribosomal RNA". It matches the Rfam family "Bacterial small subunit ribosomal RNA", at positions 524 to 776 of the family's 1533-position model. The record is from RNAcentral.